CUAUUGGGAACUGGGUCCAGACC
This 23-nucleotide non-coding RNA is filed under the name Arabidopsis thaliana (thale cress). Lineage: Eukaryota; Viridiplantae; Streptophyta; Magnoliopsida; Brassicales; Brassicaceae. The record is from RNAcentral.